UGGUAUCAAAGCAUGACUUGAUCUUGUUCCUACAAGAUCAAUCUUGGGUUUGCUUGAUAGAAAAUUAAAAAAAAAAAGUGUUAGAAAACUGAAAAAUAAAAAAGAAGCAAAUCUGUCCAUUUUGUGUUCUUGGCCGAAAUUGUGUUAUUGUUGUGUCUUGGCCGAGAUUUUUACUUGUUUUGUUGUUUAUAGUGUUAUUUUUCUUCAUCUCUAA
RNAcentral lists this long non-coding RNA (214 nucleotides) under Capsicum annuum. Its description in RNAcentral is "long non-coding RNA (CANN_LNC003310)". The record is from RNAcentral. Lineage: Eukaryota; Viridiplantae; Streptophyta; Magnoliopsida; Solanales; Solanaceae.